GACGAACGCUGGCGGCGUGCCUAAUACAUGCAAGUAGAACGCUGAAGGAGGAGCUUGCUUCUCCGGAUGAGUUGCGAACGGGUGAGUAACGCGUAGGUAACCUGCCUGGUAGCGGGGGAUAACUAUUGGAAACGAUAGCUAAUACCGCAUAGCAGUAGAUGUUGCAUGACAUUUGCUUAAAAGGUGCAAUUGCAUCACUACCAGAUGGACCUGCGUUGUAUUAGCUAGUUGGUGAGGUAACGGCUCACCAAGGCGACGAUACAUAGCCGACCUGAGAGGGUGAUCGGCCACACUGGGACUGAGACACGGCCCAGACUCCUACGGGAGGCAGCAGUAGGGAAUCUUCGGCAAUGGACGGAAGUCUGACCGAGCAACGCCGCGUGAGUGAAGAAGGUUUUCGGAUCGUAAAGCUCUGUUGUAAGAGAAGAACGAGUGUGAGAGUGGAAAGUUCACACUGUGACGGUAUCUUACCAGAAAGGGACGGCUAACUACGUG
Molecule: ribosomal RNA, 495 nt
Filed under: uncultured bacterium
Lineage: Bacteria
Description: partial 16S ribosomal RNA
Rfam family: Bacterial small subunit ribosomal RNA
Source: RNAcentral